This 400-nucleotide ribosomal RNA is filed under the name uncultured bacterium. Its description in RNAcentral is "bacterial SSU rRNA". It matches the Rfam family "Bacterial small subunit ribosomal RNA", at positions 355 to 751 of the family's 1533-position model. The record is from RNAcentral.
UGAGGAAUAUUGGACAAUGGGUGAGAGCCUGAUCCAGCCAUCCCGCGUGCAGGAAGACGGUCCUAUGGAUUGUAAACUGCUUUUAUAUAGGAAUAAACCUACUCUCGUGAGGGUAGCUGAAGGUACUAUAUGAAUAAGCACCGGCUAACUCCGUGCCAGCAGCCGCGGUAAUACGGAGGGUGCAAGCGUUAUCCGGAUUUAUUGGGUUUAAAGGGUCCGUAGGCGGUCAACUAAGUCAGUGGUGAAAGCCGGGCAGCUUAACUGUCGAACUGCCAUUGAUACUGUUUGACUUGAAUUGAUUUGAAGUAGCUGGAAUGUGUAGUGUAGCGGUGAAAUGCAUAGAUAUUACACAGAACACCGAUAGCGAAGGCAGGUUACUAAGAUCAUAUUGACGCUGAGG